CGGGUGAGUAACACGUGAGCAACCUGCCUUUCAGUGGGGGACAACAGUUGGAAACGACUGCUAAUACCGCAUAACGUGCCGGAAGGGCAUCCUUUUGGUACCAAAGAUUUAUCGCUGAAAGAUGGGCUCGCGUCUGAUUAGAUAGGUGGUGAGGUAACGGCCCACCAAGUCGACGAUCAGUAGCCGGACUGAGAGGUUGAGUCGGCCACAUUGGGACCUGAGACACGGCCCAGACUCCUACGGAAGGCAGCAG
This 253-nucleotide ribosomal RNA is filed under the name uncultured bacterium. RNAcentral's name for it is "partial 16S ribosomal RNA". It matches the Rfam family "Bacterial small subunit ribosomal RNA", at positions 103 to 354 of the family's 1533-position model. The record is from RNAcentral.